GGCCACCGGCUUGCGGUUGCCUCUCGGUUAUACCCUUGUCCGGUGGUCCUCCUCGCGGGGACGCCGUGGGCCUUUGCUGGUUUGCGGAUGUGAACCGUGACGUUUACUUUGAAAAAAUUAGAGUGUUUAAAGCAGGCUUGCGCUAUGAAUACAUUAGCAUGGAAUAAUAAUUUAGGACUUCUGUUCUAUUUUGUUGGUUUCUAGGAUGGAAGUA
This 214-nucleotide ribosomal RNA is filed under the name uncultured fungus. RNAcentral describes it as "partial small subunit ribosomal RNA". The stretch from base 89 to 214 matches the Rfam family "Eukaryotic small subunit ribosomal RNA", at positions 737 to 864 of the family's 1831-position model. Lineage: Eukaryota; Fungi. The record is from RNAcentral.